CUCACAGCAGAGUACCUUCUGAAGAGAGAGAUUGGGCACCUUUGUUGAGCAUUUCCAUUAUACUUGAUUUUGGAAGGUCAGACUUAAUGCAGGGACUGUAUUUUUGGGGCAGAACCUCUCCUGCCCGUGUGCUGGAUCCCACCGGCUACCUGCCCUGCCGGAAACACAAUCUGAUGGCAAGAUGUCCUGGAAGAGGGUCACACAAAUUCUGUGAUUCAAGGACUGAUACAACUGAAAGCACUUCUGGCCCCUCAGCUGUGAAGUUCAAUAUAGACAUUGAAACAAACUAACCAACAGAUUUGAUAAAUGAAAAGUAAAUUCAGAGAAGGCAUGAAUUACAAAAUUGUAGUGACAGAUCAGAAAAUCCUAUUGUAACUUCUUAGAAUAAAUAGCUGGUGAUUAACAAUUGGGUUUCUGGGCUGCUGGUUCUGCCUUUAUGUGGCUGGAGAUAAAAGUAUGAACAAUUGAUUCUUGGUGGUCCUAACAGCUAAAAGAUUGUAUACAAUUUAUGAUGAAGAUGAGGUUCUGUAGCUCUCGGUGAGCAGUUGGGGAAUGUCACCUGCCUGGUGGGAGGUCCUGACUUUGCCCACUGUUUGCUGGUGAGUAUAUUUUGCCUGCUCCCUUCAAAACUUUUGCAGUAUAAGGGAUAGUGGUGCACUAGGCAUUCUACAUUUUUUAUGCAGGUCUUUUUAUGUACAGUCACAGUGUUAGCUAUGGAGAGAAUAAAUAAUGUAUGCAUUUUGGACUCCAUGAACCCUUUCUUAUUCUCACUAUGAAUAUAAGAAUUCCUUUUCUUUUCUGCCUGUGUAAACUCAUUUGUUAGUUGAGAGGUUAGGAGAAAAAGAAUUUCGUUGUUUAUAUUGGUGUUUUUCCCCCCUGAAAUUGGAACUCUUACUUCUUACUUAGCAAUAUCAUGACUUUGGAAAUGUUCUUUAGCUUGUUUUUGAUUGUGAGCAUAACUUGUGCUCUGUGAAUUUGAUGAGUUCAGUUCAGUUUAGUUGGCUUCUGUUCAUAUCCUGUUCUAUCAGGCACUGAAGUUACAGUUGAUGUUAAAAAAGAACA
Molecule: long non-coding RNA, 1062 nt
Organism: Manis pentadactyla (Chinese pangolin)
Lineage: Eukaryota; Metazoa; Chordata; Mammalia; Pholidota; Manidae
Exons: 3
Source: RefSeq, a predicted model, not a curated record